Molecule: long non-coding RNA, 930 nt
Organism: Ipomoea nil (Japanese morning glory)
Lineage: Eukaryota; Viridiplantae; Streptophyta; Magnoliopsida; Solanales; Convolvulaceae
Exons: 2
Source: RefSeq, a predicted model, not a curated record
UGAGUGCAAUUUCUCGAUCAGUUGAGUGCCUGUGAUGAGUAUUAAAACAAUAAGCUAUUGAAGUUUUCUAUAAAAGUUACUACAUCCUACAAGAUGUUACAGAUUAAAGAACUUGACUGGAAACAGAUGUAAGAAAAGCUAUAAGUGGAAAACAUACAUCCAAUGAUCUGACCGGAAAAUAAUUAACGUUAAAAAAAUAAAACAAAAUAAAAUAAAUAAAUAAGAAAAUUGAUAACAUCAACAUGAAAAGAAUUUCUUAUUCUAAAAUGGCAUACAACCACCAGAAGUAUUGCCAGAAGACUAGAAAUCUGAACAAUAAUAAUCAUUUCAGAGGUAUUAAAUCGUAUUACUUCACUGGACUUGGUUAUAAGCACUCCAGAUGAGUAAAAGCUAAGCACCUCACGAAGUUCAAUUUCAAUCUGGGUAACAUCAACGAUCACCCAAAUUUGGCAGAAAACUUCCGCACAAGAUCCCAAAUCAUUCUGAAGUAACUUUCAAUUUUGAUAAAGUUUUAGGAGAAAAAUAAAGUUCUAAAAAAAAUCUGAUUACAUGCAGAUUUCAGCACUAUUAGAACAAAAUGAAGGUGGCUUACUAAAUUUGGGGUAAUGGAAGCCCGUGAGGAAAAAUAGAUGUUGAUGAAAGUUAUGAAAUUAAGGUAGAAAUAUGUCCAAAAUUUUAUAUUUAAUUAAAAUUUAAAACUCCUGUAAAGUUGAAAGGGAAAUUCUACUGAAUGGCAAUUACACCGGCUAUGCUUUAUGUAAGUGACAACUGGAGUGUAAAUUUGUAACUGACAUAAGAAUGCUAUUAUGCAAAGGUAGAGAGAAUACAAGAAAGAACCAUAUUGUUAAAUACUUAUUCAACGCAAGGAACAAGUGGCACCUAUUUAGAAUGCUUAAUAAAUGGUGGUAAUAGGUGAGAGGAUGACAAAAA